This 885-nucleotide ribosomal RNA is filed under the name uncultured marine bacterium. RNAcentral describes it as "bacterial SSU rRNA". It matches the Rfam family "Bacterial small subunit ribosomal RNA", at positions 59 to 992 of the family's 1533-position model. The record is from RNAcentral.
AAGUCGAACGAAGUAGCAAUACUUAGUGGCAGACGGGUGAGUAACAUGUAGGUAUCUUCCCUUUGGUGAGGAAUAACACGAGGAAACUUGUGCUAAUACCUCAUAAGUCUUUACGGAGAAAGCUUUAUGCGCCGAAGGAUGAGCCUGCAUUUGAUUAGUUUGUUGGUGGGGUAAUGGCCUACCAAGACUUUGAUCAAUAGCUGAUCUGAGAGGAUGAUCAGCCACAUUGGGACUGAGACACGGCCCAAACUCCUACGGGAGGCAGCAGUAGGGAAUAUUGCACAAUGGAGGAAACUCUGAUGCAGCGAUGCCGCGUGAGUGAAGAAGGCCUUUGGGUUGUAAAGCUCUUUCGUCGGGGAAGAAAAUGACUGUACCCGAAUAAGAAGGUCCGGCUAACUUCGUGCCAGCAGCCGCGGUAAUACGAAGGGACCUAGCGUAGUUCGGAAUUACUGGGCUUAAAGAGUUCGUAGGUUGUUAAAAAAGUUGGUGGUGAAAUCCCAGAGCUUAACUCUGGAACUGCCAUCAAAACUUUUUAGCUAGAGUAUGAUAGAGGAAAGCAGAAUUUCUAGUGUAGAGGUGAAAUUCGUAGAUAUUAGAAAGAAUACCAAUUGCGAAGGCAGCUUUCUGGAUCAUUACUGACACUGAGGAACGAAAGCAUGGGUAGCGAAGAGGAUUAGAUACCCUCGUAGUCCAUGCCGUAAACGAUGUGUGUUAGACGUUGGAAAUUUAUUUUCAGUGUCGCAGCGAAAGUAUUAAACACACCGCCUGGGGAGUACGACCGCAAGGUUAAAACUCAAAUGAAUUGACGGGGACCCGCACAAGUAGUGGAGCAUGUGGUUUAAUUCGAAGAUACGCGCAGAACCUUACCAACACUUGACAUGUUCG